Molecule: ribosomal RNA, 1528 nt
Filed under: metagenome
Description: bacterial SSU rRNA
Rfam family: Bacterial small subunit ribosomal RNA
Source: RNAcentral
AGAGUUUGAUCCUGGCUCAGAACGAACGCUGGCGGCGCGGAUUAGGCAUGCAAGUCGAACGGGAUUUGCUUGGUUCAAGUUUUCGGACGAGAACCUUGCAAUGAGAGUGGCGGAAGGGUGAGUAACACGUGGGUAACUUGCCCUCAAGUGCGGGAUAGCCCCCCGAAAGGGAGGAUAAUACCGCAUGUGGUCGUCUCCCGCAUGGGAGACUUUCUAAGGUGGGGAUCUUCGGACCUGCCGCUUGAGGAUAGGCCCGCGUCCCAUCAGCUUGUUGGUGAGGUAACGGCCCACCAAGGCUUACGGGUAGCUGGUCUGAGAGGAUGGUCAGCCACACUGGGACUGAGACACUGCCCAGACUCCUACGGGAGGCUGCAGUCGAGAAUCAUUCGCAAUGCGCGAAAGCGUGACGAUGCGACGCCGCGUGCAGGACGACGGCCUUCGGGUUGUAAACUGCUGUCAUGAGGGAGUAACGAGGACCGGGUGAAUAGCCCGGACCUGUGAGAGUACCUCAGGAGGAAGCCACGGCUAACUCUGUGCCAGCAGCCGCGGUAAUACAGAGGUGGCAAGCGUUGUUCGGAUUUACUGGGCGUAAAGGGUGCGUAGGCGGUUCCGUGUGUCAGAUGUGAAAGCCCACUGUUCAUCGGUGGAAUUGCAUUUGAAACUGCGGGGCUUGAGUUCGGGAUGGGAGAGCGGAAUUCCUGGUGUAGCGGUGAGAUGCGUAGAUAUCAGGAGGAACGCCGGUGGCGAAGGCGGCUCUCUGGAACGACACUGACGCUGAGGCACGAAAGCUAGGGGAGCAAACAGGAUUAGAUACCCUGGUAGUCCUAGCUGUAAACGUUGUGUACUUGGUGUGGGAGGAUUUAGCCCCUUCCGUGCCGGAGCUAACGCGUUAAGUACACCGCCUGGGGAGUACGGUCGCAAGGCUAAAACUCAAAGGAAUUGACGGGGGCCCGCACAAGCGGUGGAGCAUGUGGCUUAAUUCGAUGCAACGCGAAGAACCUUACCUGGGUUUGACAUGUGACUGCACGCUGGCCGAAAGGCCGGAAGCCUUCGAGGGUGUCACACAGGUGCUGCAUGGCUGUCGUCAGCUCGUGCCGUGAGGUGUUGGGUUAAGUCCCGCAACGAGCGCAACCCUUAUAUUUAGUUGCCAGUCCGCAAGGGCGCACUCUAAAUAGACUGCCUGUGAUAAGCAGGAGGGAGGUGGGGAUGACGUCAAGUCGGUAUGGUCCUUAUAUCCAGGGCUGCACACGUGCUACAAUGGCCGGUACAAAGGGAAGCAAGACCGCGAGGUGGAGCCAAUCCUCAAAGCCGGCCCCAGUUCGGAUUGAAGUCUGCAACUCGACUUCAUGAAGCCGGAAUCGCUAGUAAAGGGGCAUCAGCUACGGCCCCUUGAAUACGUUCCCGGGCCUUGCACACACCGCCCGUCACAUCAUGAAAGCCGAUUGCACCCGAAGUCGCUGGUCUAACCCGCAAGGGAAGAAGGCGCCGAAGGUGUGGUUGGUAAUUGGGAUGAAGUCGUAACAAGGUA